RNAcentral lists this long non-coding RNA (1074 nucleotides) under Canis lupus familiaris (dog). RNAcentral describes it as "lncRNA (ENSCAFG00845009394.1)". Lineage: Eukaryota; Metazoa; Chordata; Mammalia; Carnivora; Canidae. The record is from RNAcentral.
CGUGGGGUUCCUGAGCCUUCAUUCAGGGUCAGUGCUUUAAGAACUAGGCAAUAUAGCACCCAGUGACCUUUCCGAGUCCUUGGCCGGGCAGAUCCCUGAGGCAUGCACCAGGGGUCCUAUACCAAAUGUUUCAAAGUCUUUUUAAAAAUAUUUGGGUCCCCAUGAAGCCCUAUUCUACCCAAGUUUAUCAGAAGAUUUGAGUAGGAAUGGGGUUGAUGGGCUUCAUCAUUUAUAAAAUUAGGAGUGCUGAUGAAGGAAGUAAAGCUCUGAAAGCUUCUAGUCCUGCACCUGCUCAUGGUCAUCACUAAGCAGCUUUACUUAGAAUACACACCAGAUGGAACAUCGGUCUGGCUGUAAAGCUCAGCAAGCUCUGUUAGAUGGGGACAUGGAGCAUUGCUGUAAACUUGUAAACAUGUCAUUUCCUUUGUGACAUGAAUCAAGGUAUCUGUGAGGUACACCAAACAAACAAAAAAAUUGGGCAACAAAAAAGUGUUGUGCUUAUCAUUAUUUUUAAACCCUCCUGGGAUGAUGUGUGCUUGCUCUUGUCUUGUCUUUGCACUCAAGGCAGAAGAUGCAGUGAAGGACCUAAGGUACAGCCUGGAACAUAGGUGCCGGGACUCUCGGGAGGCCGGCGACGGCCCGCGCCACAGGUGGCAUCCGGGGCGGGGCCUGCGCGCCGUCGGGCGGCGGGGGCGUGGCCUGGGCUCCGCGGCGGGGGCCUGGCCCCUCCCCAGAUGCCUCCGCGCGCCCGCCGCCCUCCAGCGCGCCAGGCUUCCCGAGCGCCCAGUGCGCAGGCGCCGGCGGGGGGCUCCGAGCGUGCGCCGAGAUGGAGCGCGGUCGGAGCGCGCGGCGGCGGUUGCCCCGCGGACUGACGGGAGGUCGGGCCGCCCGCCGUGUCGCCCUGCGCCUGCUGAACUCCGAGCGCCCGAGGAUGUCAGCGCUGAGGAAGGUCUGUAUGAGCUGUUGGCUCUUGUGCCAGGCCAGCUGGGGCCACGUGUGGACAGCCAGGAAGACCUGACCUUCCUCUGGGAUAUGUUUGGUGAGAAAAUCCUGCAUUCACUGGUAAAGUGCUGA